This 246-nucleotide long non-coding RNA is filed under the name Ananas comosus (pineapple). Its description in RNAcentral is "long non-coding RNA (ACOM_LNC017228)". Lineage: Eukaryota; Viridiplantae; Streptophyta; Magnoliopsida; Poales; Bromeliaceae. The record is from RNAcentral.
UUUAUGGUGAUCGGGUAUCUGAAUUUACAAUUGACACUGUUCAAUACGAUAUAACCAUUUUAAACUUUAGAAAAACUGAAUUUCAUAAUUUUACGAUAUUACUUACCUAGUAAUCCAGCGGUCACAAAUACACCUUAGAACCACUUGACUAUAGACGUUGAAAUAUUAUAAAAUUUAAUUUCUAUGAAGUUUAAAUCGCUCAAAUCAUAUUCACUGAUGCUAAUUGUCAAUUCGAAUUAAUGUCCC